This is a long non-coding RNA of Vitis riparia (riverbank grape), 424 nucleotides long. RefSeq lists it as uncharacterized. NCBI's taxonomy places the organism in Eukaryota, Viridiplantae, Streptophyta, Magnoliopsida, Vitales, Vitaceae. The transcript has 2 exons. The record is from RefSeq and is a predicted model, not a curated record.
UCGGUGUUUGGCUCGACAGAAAAAGAGGUGGCAGAAGAAGAAAAGGAAGAGAAGAAGAUGAUAUACCGAAAAUGGAGUCUGCUAACUGGCCCAGUUGCCAUAUUGGCAGCGAUAGCUGUGCCUGUCACUAUUAUCAACUACAUCAUCGUUAAAGACGAUUUGUUCCCUAGCCCGGAGAAGGUGAAGAAUGACCAGGGAUCAACAAACAAGUAGAAACAAGGGAUUUGGUGCCUUCUCGUCUCAAAUUUGGUUUAAGCCUGUGUCAAGGACUUGAGGUCUGCUUUUGUUGGAUAUAAUACGCAAACUUGUGUUUAAGUUGCAGUUUGGGGCAUGGAAUUUUUGUUGAAUAAUGUUGACAGUUUGAACCAAAACUUCUGAGCUAAGUUCAAUAGAUUUGGUUGUUCAACCCUGAUUCUUGUGAUUA